RNAcentral lists this long non-coding RNA (643 nucleotides) under Mustela putorius furo (domestic ferret). RNAcentral's name for it is "lncRNA (ENSMPUG00000024991.1)". The record is from RNAcentral. Lineage: Eukaryota; Metazoa; Chordata; Mammalia; Carnivora; Mustelidae.
AGAAAGACUAAGCUCCUGGGUAAGAACUCUUUCUCCUUUGGUAACAGUCCUCUGGGACACAUGCACAUAAGCUCCACUGGCCAUAUUAGGUGUCCCCUUGUAACACUGCCCAAAAUCAGGGUGCCCGACGGGGUUCUGAGCUCCUUCCUAGGUGACACGGAUUAUUACAGUCCCAUGGGACCAAGAACACAAGCUCCCCCUGGCCUCCGGAGCCAGGUGAUCAGGACGCAUCCACUAGACAGCUGCGGCUGCAAAAACCUGGGCACCAGCUGAGCAUAAUGAACACCGGGUUGACUGAAAGGCUCCAGCUCCAGCACGAAGGGGAGCACGCCAAGAUGGCGCCCACCAGCCUCGGGUCAGUGCUUGUCUCUCAGGUGUGUGUGUGGAGUAGUUCUUGCCGCUCAGCCCCCCAUGCUUUAAUACAAGUGGGAGCGUCUCCUCCAUCGAAGUCUGGGGUCCCUCGGCUGCCGGAAGCUGGGUCCUGCUCCGGUGAGGAAUCACAAAAUCCUACCACUGAAGUAAAGGAAUUAACACUGCAUGGAAAUGAAUUGGAACUGAUGUUAGUAAAGUAAAGAAGACCAUGUUCUACUCCAUGAAGAGUAAGGUAAAAAUGGAAUUAUUUUUGCUCUCCUAUUCUGUAGAU